This 89-nucleotide microRNA precursor is filed under the name Branchiostoma floridae (Florida lancelet). RNAcentral describes it as "mir-2060 microRNA precursor family". It matches the Rfam family "mir-2060 microRNA precursor family". The record is from Rfam by way of RNAcentral. Lineage: Eukaryota; Metazoa; Chordata; Leptocardii; Amphioxiformes; Branchiostomatidae.
AACGUGUGCAUAUGGUGUUCAGCACCAAGGACAGGUGUGUUAACCUGUGUGUGGAUGGUGUUCAGCACCAAGGACAGGUGUGUUAACCU